GAUGAACGCUGGCGGCGUGCCUAAUACAUGCAAGUCGAGCGAACAGAUGAGGAGCUUGCUCCUCUGACGUUAGCGGCGGACGGGUGAGUAACACGUGGAUAACCUACCUAUAAGACUGGGAUAACUUCGGGAAACCGGAGCUAAUACCGGAUAAUAUAUUGAACCGCAUGGUUCAAUAGUGAAAGACGGUUUUGCUGUCACUUAUAGAUGGAUCCGCGCCGCAUUAGCUAGUUGGUAAGGUAACGGCUUACCAAGGCAACGAUGCGUAGCCGACCUGAGAGGGUGAACGCCCACACUGGAACUGAGACACGGUCCAGACUCCUACGGGAGGCAGCAGUAGGGAAUCUUCCGCAAUGGGCGAAAGCCUGACGGAGCAACGCCGCGUGAGUGAUGAAGGUCUUCGGAUCGUAAAACUCUGUUAUUAGGGAAGAACAAAUGUGUAAGUAACUAUGCACGCCUUGACGGUACCUAAUCAGAAAGCCACGGCUAACUACGUG
RNAcentral lists this ribosomal RNA (497 nucleotides) under uncultured bacterium. RNAcentral describes it as "partial 16S ribosomal RNA". It matches the Rfam family "Bacterial small subunit ribosomal RNA", at positions 28 to 507 of the family's 1533-position model. The record is from RNAcentral.